UAUGUAGGGCGCGAGCGUUGUCCGGAAUUAUUGGGCGUAAAGAGCUCGUAGGCGGUUUGUCACGUCGGCUGUGAAAACCCGAGGCUCAACCUCGGGCCUGCAGUCGAUACGGGCAGACUAGAGUGCUGUAGGGGAGACUGGAAUUCCUGGUGUAGCGGUGAAAUGCGCAGAUAUCAGGAGGAACACCGGUGGCGAAGGCGGGUCUCUGGGCAGUAACUGACGCUGAGGAGCGAAAGCGUGGGGAGCAAACAGG
Molecule: ribosomal RNA, 253 nt
Filed under: uncultured bacterium
Lineage: Bacteria
Description: partial 16S ribosomal RNA
Rfam family: Bacterial small subunit ribosomal RNA
Source: RNAcentral